RNAcentral lists this ribosomal RNA (373 nucleotides) under uncultured bacterium. Its description in RNAcentral is "bacterial SSU rRNA". It matches the Rfam family "Bacterial small subunit ribosomal RNA", at positions 525 to 896 of the family's 1533-position model. The record is from RNAcentral.
ACGUAGGUUGCGAGCGUUGUCCGGAUUUACUGGGCGUAAAGCGCGCGCAGGCGGAUCCGAAAGUCCACGGUGAAAGCUCCCGGCCCAACUGGGAGAGGCCCGUGGAAACUCCGGAUCUUGAAGGCAGGAGAGGCAAAUGGAAUUUCCGGUGUAGCGGUAAAAUGCGUAGAUACCGGAAGGAACACCAGUGGCGAAGGCGAUUUGCUGGCCUGUUCUUGACGCUCAGGCGCGAAAGCUAGGGGAGCGACCGGGAUUAGAUACCCCGUUAGUCCUAGCCGUAAACAAUGGGCACUAGGUGUUGUCGGUAUCGACCCCGGCAGUGCCGUAGCUAACGCAUUAAGUGCCCCGCCUGGGGAGUACGACCGCAAGGUUA